CCUUACAAAUGAAAUUGAAACAAUGGUGUUGGUCUAGUUAAAUGUGAUAGAAAUAAAGCAAAUGUGGACAGGUGAUCCAUGCACGCACGCUGUACAAUGACAAAUCUCGUUCAAAUUAUCGCUGAGUGGUGACACAUAUGUUUUGAAAAGACAGGCCUGACAGGCAAGGGAAUACAACAAUCAUAAUAAAAGUUUAUUAAUAUAAAAGCUUUGUGUGAAACAUGCAUGAAUUAACAAUUUGUACAAGUUUUCAGAUUGCUUUGGCUUACACCACUGGUAUAACACUAGUUUCCAGAACUAGGUACUGAAAAAUAAUAUGGAUGUGGAUGGUGGAUGUAACUUUAAAAAUGCAUUUCAGCAUGUUGCUUGACUGAAUGUAAGCAAUAAGAAAAGGAAGCUGUGAUUGGAAAUUACAAAGUACUUUCCUAAAUGUCUACAGAAGUAAGAUUUGUAAGUAAAACACUUUUAAGUGAAGAACAGAACGAUUUCUUCCAAACAGGUCACACACCUAGUAAUAUGGUGGAAUAUGGCUGAGAUCAGCCCAUGUCAGUCAUUUUGGAAACAGGAAAUUGUGCUCUAGUUCGCUAACACCAUACUGUGGUGAAAGGUCUGUGCACUAUUAUUUGGUUUAAAAGUUAGCUAACAAGGUUUCAGUCAAGCAAAUAAAUAUUUUGGUCUGUGUUUCAAAAACAGGUGAUUAAAUAUUAUACAUUUUAUUUAACUGAUACCAAUGUUAAACAAAUAUAAUAAAAUGAAAAUUACAAGUAUUUUAAUCUAUGUUUCACAUCAUUAUGAGAGUUGCUGUAAAAGUUUCAUAAUAUACCUACUGUUAUUAGUAAAGUUGUUCCAUUUUGUGGAAUACAUUUGAUACAGUAGAUCUCACAACAAAAGCUCAUGUAUAAAGGUUAGAACUCUGUUUUGCCUAUUGGCCACAAACAUUCAUAAGUACUUAAAAUAAUGGUUAUUCAUUAUAACAAUGUUAGGUCCAUAUCUGAAAAGUGAAAUCAGUAUAGUUAUUAGUUACAUGGUGACACCAAAGUAGUAAUAAGUUUGACUAUGCAUAUUUGUUUAAAUUUUAAUAAGUACUGCUUGUUGUAUUGCAUAUCUAAAGAUAGUAGUUAUUUGAGUUCAGCUAUAUAGGUACAUUUUACAAAUUCUACAAACUAGAAUAUUAAGUCUCUAGUACUAACAGCAACACUCUUGGCUAACCAUCGGUAGCCUUUAUGCCCUUGUAAUAAGGAUUACAAAUGUAUGGCUAACAGUGUUGUCGAUGGUACUUUAUAGUCAGUUGUAGCCAAACUCGAUGUGACUGUGAUGUUGGAUACUAGCAAACUAGGUAAAAAUUGUUUGUAAACUGUAAAUAAUUGCAUUAAUAAUACAAUUGACAUGAUUAAUAUAAUAUAUAAUCUUUUAUGCAUAGAGAUACAUAAAGACAAAGGAUUGAUUUAUUUAAUUGUAACUUUCUUACACAAUACAAAUGUGUCAAUGGUGGACUUCUUCUUCUUAUCGUGUCGAGGUUCCUUUCUUAAUGGUGGACUUAAUGCUAGGAUGCAUUCUCUACCCACAAAUUUUAAUUAAUGAUACUUAGUAGUAACCGGGACUACUAACCUUUGUUUAAUUUUAUGGUAUGUUUUUGACUAUUGUUAAGACAAAAUUCAUUGUUCUUAUUUUUAUGAUAUGAAAUUGAUUAUAACCCAUAACCCCAUACCCAUAAUUCAUUGUAACUACUAACAAUGUAGAAAAUAUUGUAUGUAGAUUUAUUCAUUUCAAUGAUGACUAAUCAUAAUUAAAUUUCAAAACUAGCCAGAUUAUUAGUUAAGAUUGCGGUAUGCCUUCACAGGGCAUUAUGUACUCACUUACCUGCCUCGUUUAUUCACCUGCAUUUUAAUGUAGGUACAUAGAUGUACAGUAGAUUAAUGAAAUAUGGAAAGUUAACUACACCUAAACUGCAUUCAUGAAACAUUGUAUUAGAUUAGGCUAGCAAUUAGCAAUGUAAAAUGUUGGUUAGUAAAAAGUUUGAAUUUGUGGUGUUCAAUGGUUAACUUCAACAAUAAUCUUUGUAUGUCAUAGGUAUGUUUAUAAAAGACGGAAAUUACUGACAUUAGUUACCUACAGAGUGAUUCACUGUUUGAUGUGGACGUACUAAAUAUUGUAUGAAAUUUGUAUUCUAAUAUCUAUCUUAUUCUACAUGGCCACAGGAAAUUAAUCAAUAACUGUUUUAUGUAUAAUUGUAUAUGAACUUGUGAGAGGUAGCAAGUAAAGAUUGUUAUAAAAUUUAAUUCAUUUAAAGAAAAGGAGAGGAAACGGGAAGGUACCGAGUAAAUGUCAUUGGGGAUUCCUACAGCAGAUCGUUAUUUCCAAACCAAAUAUUUACUGGAUGUGGACACAGUCAUUGUACAGAAUCUACUUAAGUGUUAGUAUCUUGUAUUUAAUAAUAUUAAUAGAUAUAGUAUACCUUGUGUGUAGUCUAUUUUGACUCUUUAGGAUUAUUCUUAAGACUCAAAGAUUCAUAAUAUGUUAUGCUACUAACUAGUGGUUGAUAUUUCUAGCUCUAGUCUAAAGUCAUACACUUGUGUUAGUAUAAGGACUUACCAUGGAGUAUAAUUAUAAUGUGAUGUGAUCAGAUUGUUACUUAAUAGAAAAAUAUUUGCAAUGGAUAAUUAUUUCAAGCCUAUCUGGAAACUGUAACCCUAUUUGUAUUAGUUGUAUAAUAGUAGAGAUUGUUGAUUGUAUAAAAUUGGAAGUUUAUAAAAUGUGUAUGUAUCUAGUGAUUCAAAACUGUUGUUGUUGCUACAUGCAUUUAUUGAAUUUGUUUGAAGCUAAACUGUUGAUUAGUGCGCGAUGCAGUCUUGGUAAUUUCAUAAAUGGUUCAUGCAUUGUUUUAAUUUAAAAUUUGUUAAAAAGGAAGAGAUGUGGUAUUCUAAUAAAUGGCGGUGUACUGGCAACACGCAGUUGCUGUCAAGAUGGCACCAAGUGUGUGAGGUCGGAGAAUGCCGUACAGAGAAA
This 3006-nucleotide long non-coding RNA is filed under the name Leguminivora glycinivorella. Its description in RNAcentral is "uncharacterized LOC125229675, transcript variant X2". The record is from RNAcentral. Lineage: Eukaryota; Metazoa; Arthropoda; Insecta; Lepidoptera; Tortricidae.